UGGUGUGCUGUGAUGAAUCUUAUUUACGGACUAGAGUUUAUGAUCUGGGCUCUUCUCCCAGAAAUUGAUCACAAACCCUUGGCUGUCUGAGUACACAU
Molecule: small nucleolar RNA, 98 nt
Organism: Argentina anserina (silverweed cinquefoil)
Lineage: Eukaryota; Viridiplantae; Streptophyta; Magnoliopsida; Rosales; Rosaceae
Product: small nucleolar RNA Z157/R69/R10
Exons: 1
Source: RefSeq, a predicted model, not a curated record